CCUACGGGUGGCAGCAGUAGGGAAUCUUCCACAAUGGGCGCAAGCCUGACGGAGCAACGCCGCGUGGGUGAAGAAGGUCUUCGGAUCGUAAAACUCUGUUGUUAGAGAAGAAAGGGCGUGAGAGUAACUGUUCACGUCUCGACGGUAUCUAACCAGAAAGCCACGGCUAACUACGUGCCAGCAGCCGCGGUAAUACGUAGGUGGCAAGCGUUGUCCGGAUUUAUUGGGCGUAAAGCGAACGCAGGCGGUCUGUUAAGUCAGAUGUGAAAGCCUUCGGCUUAACCGGGGAAGUGCAUUGGAAACUGGGAGACUUGAGUGCAGAAGAGGAGAGUGGAAGUCCAGGUGUAGCGGUGAAAUGCGUAGAUAUAUGGAAGAACACCAGUGGCGAAGGCGACUCUCUGGUCUGUAACUGACGCUGAGGUUCGAAAGCGUGGGUAGCAAACAGGAUUAGAUACCCGUGUAGUC
This 465-nucleotide ribosomal RNA is filed under the name uncultured bacterium. RNAcentral describes it as "partial 16S ribosomal RNA". It matches the Rfam family "Bacterial small subunit ribosomal RNA", at positions 338 to 795 of the family's 1533-position model. The record is from RNAcentral.